RNAcentral lists this long non-coding RNA (1468 nucleotides) under Sinocyclocheilus grahami. RNAcentral describes it as "lncRNA (ENSSGRG00000010053.1)". The record is from RNAcentral. Lineage: Eukaryota; Metazoa; Chordata; Actinopteri; Cypriniformes; Cyprinidae.
AAUUUCUCAGGAGGUUCACCACUACAAUUCAUCCAGACCAUCGGCCCUUAUACAGCGCCUCUAAUUGGCACUGUGGUUCCAACAGGGCCUACAUACGUGAUUGGUGAGUCCACUGUAAAAGCAUCAUUAAACAGCUGCAUGUGCCUGCAUGCCUGCAUGUUAUUUUAAUGUUGUGCACUGUAUCUCUAAUUUCACAUUCAGUAUCUGCAGUGUCGCCGCAAUGUGUGAGUCCAGGCACUCAGAUAAUUCCUCUUUCACCUGCCGAUGGCACAGUUGCCCCGCCAGAGCUCACUGGUUCCGUACUUCCAGUUGGCUCAUCUUCAGACAGUGCAUGCCAGGGUUUGCCACCAGUAUCUGUAGACACACUCUCCCCUACAAAAGAAGGAAACCCACAAAAAAACUAUGAUUCCACACCUCCAAAAACCGAAAGGAAAAUCCGCCCAGAAGCACCAGGUAAGAAACCAAUUUAAAGGGGUCAUAUGAUGCUUUUUUAAAGAUCAUUAUUUUGUGUAUUUGGUGUAACAGAAUAUGUUGACAUGCUUUAAUGUUCAAAAAACACAUUAUUUUUCAAAUACUGUACAUUAUUGUAGGUCCUCUAUGCCCCGCCUCUCUCAAACGCUUAGUUUUCUACAAAGUCCCUCCUUCCGACAAGCGCAGUCUGAUCUGAUUGGCCAGCUGACCCAGUGCAUUGUGAUUGGCCGAACACCGCAAGCACUCGUCGGAAAUGUAACGCCCCUUAUCAUAAUCGCGAGCUUCAUCUUUCAAAAUAAAUGUAAAGACAGUAAAUAAUGUCAUUAGUUUUACCAUCAGUUCAAGCCCGAAAGGGGAACAGAGUCGCGUGACAGACACAGUGAUGAAGCUGGUAUGUGUUUGCAGUACAUAAGCCACGGUUAAGACAGCUGACUCCACUGUGAUGUGACCCUGUCUCUCUCUCUCUCUCACACACACACACACACACGAUGCGCAAAACUCUGCAUUUGAACAGUCAAUAGCAAAUACUUAAACUAAUAACAAAACAGUAGCUGAUUCAGAAGCGCCAGAUUAUCAUAGCAAAAAACAGACAUCCCUCCUCUCCUAGGUUCACGAAUCGGUCGUCCAUAAAAUGCAUUGCUGUUCUGUUGUAAAUGAUCUUAAAGAUUCCUAAAUGCAUCUACUUUUCAAAUGCAUAGCACUGCCAACGUCUCCCUGACAUGGCUGCUUCAACACUAACUGCGGUUACUGAAACCUUCAUUGUGUUUACGAGACCAGCAGUGCCAAAUUUGCCAAACUGCUGUUGAAGAACCUGCCUGACAAUCUGUCAUUCUAUGGGACGCAGCUUUGCCCAUUGGACGUGUAUGUUAUAUGCCAUCUCCUUCAACAAGCCAGCGCAUUGAAGCGGACCUUCUCCAUUAACCUGCAAGAUACAUGUAUUCCCAUCUGUGGCCUCAAAGAGCUUGUGGGACUCAAAUGUAUCAAAUCAUUCUGGUGA